Molecule: long non-coding RNA, 2453 nt
Organism: Salvelinus fontinalis (brook trout)
Lineage: Eukaryota; Metazoa; Chordata; Actinopteri; Salmoniformes; Salmonidae
Exons: 5
Source: RefSeq, a predicted model, not a curated record
AACAGCAGUGGUUAAUCAUACCCGUUGUCCUCCCAGUACAUAGGGGACCUGCACCCUGAUGUCACAGAGGCCAUACACUACCAGAAGUUCUCUCCUGCUGGGCCCAUCAUGUUCAUCUUCAUCUGUCGUGAUGUCAUCACUCGCAGGUCCCUAGGAUAAGCCUACAUCAACUUCCAGCAGCCCACUGAUGGUCCUCAAGGGUCGACCUACCAGGGCUACGGAAGUCUGGAGCUGGAAACAUUUUUAUCACGAACAUGGACGAGUCCAUUGACAACAAGGCCAUGUAUGACACAUUCUCAGCCUUCGGGAAUAGUCUCUUGCAAGGUUGUGUGUGAUAAGAAUGGCUCCAAAGGCUACAGCUUUGUUCACUUUGAGACUCAAGAGGCAGCCAAUCGAUACCAUGAAUGGAAUGCUGUUGAAUGACCGGAAAGUUUCUGUUGGCCACUUUUAAGUCCUGAAAGGAAUGACAGGCUGAGUUUGGUGCCCAAAGCCACGAAGUUCACCAAUGUGUACAUCAAGAACUUUGGCGAAGAAUAUAGCGAUGACAAACUCAAGGAGGUCUUUUCUGCAUUUGGCAGGACCCUCAGUGUGCGGUUGAUGAUGUACGAAAGGGGCCCGUCUUUGGAAACCACUACUACUCUGAAGUUGCUCCCUUUUGUGUCAUCUCAUCAACCAGCAUGAUGUCAUUAUAAUGUGAACAUUUGGGAACAUGACAUUUAAAAUUGGUCUUUUCUGAGUUGACUUUGGCUGCUUUUAGGCAGUUGAGGAGAUUAAUGGGAAAGAAUUCAUUCCUGGUCGAGUUUUGUACGCGAGCCGCGCUCAGAAGGGGAUUCCGCGACAGGGGAGCUGAAACGGAAGUUUGAGCUGACGAAACAGGAACGCAUCCACCGUUAUCGGGUAAUAUGGGGAAAUGCACACACCUGUGUCAUGAAGAAAAAUGUCUUUAACGUAAAUUCAUUGGAAGAAGUGUUUUGUGUUGUUUCAGUGGGUCAAUUUGUACGUCAAGAACUUGGAUGAUAGGUUAGAAGAUGAGAAACUCAGGAAGGAGUUUGCCCCUUACGUCACCAUCACAAGUGCCAAGGUAGUAAUACCCAUACUUUUUCAUAAGUAGCCAUCCAAUGAUGCAUCACAAUGACUGAGAUGAACGGCCCCAUCAUGGCCACCAAUCCGCUGUAAGUGGCUCUAGCCCAGUGCAAGGAGGGGAGUAAUGCCAUCCUCACCAACAAGUACAUGAAGAGGCUGGGCACCGUCGGGACCAUGCCCAGCCCAGUUAUCGACUCCUACCAGCAGGCAGGCUACUACAUGUCUGCUGUGCCUCAGGUCCGUAGUACAGUUGGAGGGAGGAGGUAAUCACUAGAUAGCUCACAGGCUUGCUAAUUUUGUCGGUUACCUUUAGUCUUUUAUCUUAGGACUGGCCUGGAACUCUGGGAUGCUGGCCUUCGCGGUAGAGUUGCAAAGAAAAAGCCAUAUCUCAGACUGGCCAAUAAAAAAAAGAUUAAGCUGGGCAAAAGAACACAGACACUGGACAGAGGAACUCUGCCUAGAAGGCCAGCAUCUCGGAUGUCGCCUCUUCACUGUUGACGUUUAGGCUGGUGUUUUGCGGGUACUAUUUAAUGAAGCUGCUAGUUGAGGACUUGUGAGGUGUCUGUUUCUCAAACUAGACACUCUAAUGUACUUGUCCUCUUGCUCAGUUGUGCACAGGGGCCUCCCACUCUAUCUAUUCUGGUUAGACACAGCGUUGUAUGAGUUCUUCAGUUUCUUGGCAGUUUCUCGCAUGGAAUAGCCUUCAUUUCUCAGAACAAGAAUAGACUGACGAGUUUCAGAAGAAAGUGCUUUGUUUCUAGCCAUUUUGACCCUGUAAUCGAACCCACAAAUGCUGAUGCUCCAGAUACUCAACUAGUCUAAAGAAGGCCAGUUUUAUUGCUUCUUUAAUUAGCACAACAGUUUUCAUCUGUGCUAACAUAAUUGCAAAAGGGUUUUCUAAUUAUCAAUUAGCCUUUUAAAAUUAAACUUGGAUUAGCUAACACAACGUGCCAUUGGAACACAGGAGUGAUGGUUGCUGAUAAUGGGCCUCUGUACGCCUAUGUAGAUAUUCCAUUCAAAAUCAGCCGUUUCCAGCUACAAUAGUCAUUUAUAACAUUAACAAUGUCUACACUGUAUUUCUGAUCAAUUUUGUUAUUUUAAUGGACAUUUUUUUGUUGCUUUUCUUUCAAUAACAAGGAAGUUUCGAAGUGACCCCAUACUUUUGAACGGUAGUGCAUAUCUGAAAAUAAAAUCAUGCUGUUUGCAGUGGGUUAUGUUUAUUCUACCAGUGUUAAACCAUUUAAAGGAAAAGAAAGUCAUAUUUUUGUGCUUUAAACAUGUCUAUCACAUCUCAUUUGUUGUGGAUCUGUGGAAUGAAAUCCCCUUCAAUUUUUCUUUUAUAGAUCAAUGAUUAGUUCAAAACAAUAGAA